UACGUAGGGGGCAAGCGUUGUCCGGAUUUAUUGGGCGUAAAGAGCUCGUAGGUGGUUCGGUAAGUCGGAUGUGAAAUCUCCAGGCUCAACCUGGAGGGGUCAUUCGAUACUGCCGUGACUAGAGUUCGGUAGGGGAGUGUGGAAUUCCUGGUGGAGCGGUGAAAUGCGCAGAUAUCGGGAGGAACACCGGUGGCGAAGGCGGUUCUCUGGGCCUUACCUGACGCUGAGGAGCGAAAGCGUGGGGAGCGAACAGG
RNAcentral lists this ribosomal RNA (254 nucleotides) under uncultured bacterium. RNAcentral describes it as "partial 16S ribosomal RNA". It matches the Rfam family "Bacterial small subunit ribosomal RNA", at positions 524 to 776 of the family's 1533-position model. The record is from RNAcentral.